Molecule: non-coding RNA, 31 nt
Filed under: Mus musculus (house mouse)
Lineage: Eukaryota; Metazoa; Chordata; Mammalia; Rodentia; Muridae
Source: RNAcentral
UGAGAAAGAGGGCCAAGAGUGCAGUCAUCGG